Molecule: ribosomal RNA, 253 nt
Filed under: uncultured bacterium
Lineage: Bacteria
Description: partial 16S ribosomal RNA
Rfam family: Bacterial small subunit ribosomal RNA
Source: RNAcentral
UACGAAGGGGGCUAGCGUUGCUCGGAAUCACUGGGCGUAAAGCGCGCGUAGGCGGGUCUUUAAGUCAGGGGUGAAAUCCUGGAGCUCAACUCCAGAACUGCCUUUGAUACUGAGGGUCUCGAGUCCGGGAGAGGUGAGUGGAACUGCGAGUGUAGAGGUGAAAUUCGUAGAUAUUCGCAAGAACACCAGUGGCGAAGGCGGCUCACUGGCCCGGUACUGACGCUGAGGUGCGAAAGCGUGGGGAGCAAACAGG